GGGAAGAGCUCAUGACCAGACUUGGGCUUGGUUGAUCAUCCAGGGUUCUCCCUGGUGCACUCUUCCAGCCCAGGCCAGCAUCAGUUCGCUGUGGGGGAUAAAGGCUUUGGGAAUGUGGCUCCUCCGGGAGUGUUAUAGCCCAUUGUGUAAUACCCUGUGGUGGACUGAGGUUCGCGCAUCUGCAAGGAUGCUGGCGUAAUGGUCAUCAGCGACCCGUCUUGAAACACGG
Molecule: ribosomal RNA, 229 nt
Filed under: Ilyonectria panacis
Lineage: Eukaryota; Fungi; Ascomycota; Sordariomycetes; Hypocreales; Nectriaceae
Description: partial large subunit ribosomal RNA
Source: RNAcentral